CCUCGGGGCGGCAGCAGUGGGGAAUAUUGGACAAUGGGCGAAAGCCUGAUCCAGCCAUGCCGCGUGUGUGAAGAAGGCCUUCGGGUUGUAAAGCACUUUCAGUGGGGAAGAAAGCCUUGGGGCUAAUACCCUCGAGGAAGGACAUCACCCACAGAAGAAGCACCGGCUAACUCCGUGCCAGCAGCCGCGGUAAUACGGAGGGUGCGAGCGUUAAUCGGAAUUACUGGGCGUAAAGCGCGCGUAGGCGGUCUGAUAAGCCGGUUGUGAAAGCCCCGGGCUCAACCUGGGAACGGCAUCCGGAACUGUCAGGCUAGAGUGCAGGAGAGGAAGGUAGAAUUCCCGGUGUAGCGGUGAAAUGCGUAGAGAUCGGGAGGAAUACCAGUGGCGAAGGCGGCCUUCUGGACUGACACUGACGCUGAGGUGCGAAAGCGUGGGUAGCAAACAGGAUUAGAUACCCCUGUAGUC
Molecule: ribosomal RNA, 465 nt
Filed under: Vreelandella stevensii
Lineage: Bacteria; Pseudomonadati; Pseudomonadota; Gammaproteobacteria; Oceanospirillales; Halomonadaceae
Description: partial 16S ribosomal RNA
Rfam family: Bacterial small subunit ribosomal RNA
Source: RNAcentral